RNAcentral lists this ribosomal RNA (450 nucleotides) under uncultured bacterium. Its description in RNAcentral is "SSU rRNA". It matches the Rfam family "Bacterial small subunit ribosomal RNA", at positions 26 to 518 of the family's 1533-position model. The record is from RNAcentral.
AGAGCGAACGCUGGCGGCAGGCUUAACACAUGCAAGUCGAGCGGGCGUAGCAAUACGUCAGCGGCAGACGGGUGAGUAACGCGUGGGAACAUACCUUUUGGUUCGGAACAACACAGGGAAACUUGUGCUAAUACCGGAUAAGCCCUUACGGGGAAAGAUUUAUCGCCGAAAGAUUGGCCCGCGUCUGAUUAGCUAGUUGGUGAGGUAACGGCUCACCAAGGCGACGAUCAGUAGCUGGUCUGAGAGGAUGAUCAGCCACAUUGGGACUGAGACACGGCCCAAACUCCUACGGGAGGCAGCAGUGGGGAAUAUUGGACAAUGGGCGCAAGCCUGAUCCAGCCAUGCCGCGUGAGUGAUGAAGGCCCUAGGGUUGUAAAGCUCUUUUGUGCGGGAAGAUAAUGACGGUACCGCAAGAAUAACGCCCCGGACUAACUUCGCGCCAGCAGCCGC